RNAcentral lists this ribosomal RNA (253 nucleotides) under uncultured bacterium. RNAcentral's name for it is "partial 16S ribosomal RNA". It matches the Rfam family "Bacterial small subunit ribosomal RNA", at positions 524 to 776 of the family's 1533-position model. The record is from RNAcentral.
UAUGAAGGGAGCGAGCGUUGUUCGGAGUCACUGGGCGUAAAGCGUGCGUAGGCGGUUUUGUAAGUCAGAAGUGAAAGCCUGGGGCUCAACCUCAGAAUUGCUUUUGAGACUGCAAAGCUAGAGUAUUGGAGAGGUCAGUGGAAUUCCGAAUGUAGAGGUGAAAUUCGCAGAUAUUCGGAGGAACACCAGUGGCGAAGGCGACUGACUGGACAAUUACUGACGCUGAGGCACGAAAGCGUGGGGAUCAAACAGG